GACGAACGCUGGCGGCGUGCCUAAUACAUGCAAGUAGAACGCUGAAGAGAGGAGCUUGCUCUUCUUGGAUGAGUUGCGAACGGGUGAGUAACGCGUAGGUAACCUGCCUUGUAGCGGGGGAUAACUAUUGGAAACGAUAGCUAAUACCGCAUAACAAUGGAUGACAAAUGUCAUUUAUUUGAAAGGGGCAAUUGCUCCACUACAAGAUGGACCUGCGUUGUAUUAGCUAGUAGGUGAGGUAAGGGCGCACCUAGGCGACGAUACAUAGCCGCCCUGAGAGGGCGAUCGGCCACACUGGGACUGUGACACGGCCCAGACGCCUACGGGAGGCAGCAGUAGGGAAUCUUCGGCAAGGGGGGCAACCCUGACCGAGCAACGCCGAGGGAGGGAAGAAGGGUGUCGGAUCGUAAAGCUCGGUUGUAAGUCAAGAACGGGUGUGAGAGUGGAAAGUUCACACUGUGACGGUAGCUUACCAGAAAGGGACGGCUAACUACGUG
RNAcentral lists this ribosomal RNA (497 nucleotides) under uncultured bacterium. RNAcentral's name for it is "partial 16S ribosomal RNA". It matches the Rfam family "Bacterial small subunit ribosomal RNA", at positions 28 to 507 of the family's 1533-position model. The record is from RNAcentral.